AUUGAACGCUGGCGGCAGGCCUAACACAUGCAAGUCGAGCGGAUGAAGGGAGCUUGCUCCUGGAUUCAGCGGCGGACGGGUGAGUAAUGCCUAGGAAUCUGCCUGGUAGUGGGGGAUAACGUCCGGAAACGGGCGCUAAUACCGCAUACGUCCUGAGGGAGAAAGUGGGGGAUCUUCGGACCUCACGCUAUCAGAUGAGCCUAGGUCGGAUUAGCUAGUUGGUGGGGUAAAGGCCUACCAAGGCGACGAUCCGUAACUGGUCUGAGAGGAUGAUCAGUCACACUGGAACUGAGACACGGUCCAGACUCCUACGGGAGGCAGCAGUGGGGAAGAUUGGACAAUGGGCGAAAGCCUGCUCCAGCCAUGCCGCGUGUGUGAAGAAGGUCUUCGGAUUGUAAAGCACUUUAAGUUGGGAGGAAGGGCAGUAAGUUAAUACCUUGCUGUUUUGACGUUACCAACAGAAUAAGCACCGGCUAACUUCGUG
This 484-nucleotide ribosomal RNA is filed under the name uncultured bacterium. Its description in RNAcentral is "partial 16S ribosomal RNA". It matches the Rfam family "Bacterial small subunit ribosomal RNA", at positions 30 to 507 of the family's 1533-position model. The record is from RNAcentral.